This 498-nucleotide ribosomal RNA is filed under the name uncultured bacterium. RNAcentral's name for it is "partial 16S ribosomal RNA". It matches the Rfam family "Bacterial small subunit ribosomal RNA", at positions 30 to 523 of the family's 1533-position model. The record is from RNAcentral.
AUUGAACGCUGGCGGCAUGCCUUACACGUGCAAGUCGAACGGUAACAGGUCUUCGGAUGCUGACGAGUGGCGAACGGGUGAGUAAUACAUCGGAACGUGCCCGAUCGUGGGGGAUAACGAAGCGAAAGCUUUGCUAAUACCGCAUACGAUCUACGGAUGAAAGCAGGGGACCGCAAGGCCUUGCGCGAACGGAGCGGCCGAUGGCAGAUUAGGUAGUUGGUGGGAUAAAAGCUUACCAAGCCGACGAUCUGUAGCUGGUCUGAGAGGACGACCAGCCACACUGGGACUGAGACACGGCCCAGACUCCUACGGGAGGCAGCAGUGGGGAAUUUUGGACAAUGGGCGAAAGCCUGAUCCAGCCAUGCCGCGUGCAGGAUGAAGGCCUUCGGGUUGUAAACUGCUUUUGUACGGAACGAAAAGACUCUGGUUAAUACCUGGGGUCCGUGACGGUACCGUAAGAAUAAGCACCGGCUAACUACGUGCCAGCCGCCGCCGUAA